RNAcentral lists this long non-coding RNA (238 nucleotides) under Vitis vinifera (wine grape). RNAcentral's name for it is "long non-coding RNA (VVIN_LNC001059)". Lineage: Eukaryota; Viridiplantae; Streptophyta; Magnoliopsida; Vitales; Vitaceae. The record is from RNAcentral.
GCCUAGACCCAUGAACCAGUUGUGAACAAGUCAUCUAUUUGCAAGAAACCCAUGACUUAGAUCUUCUAUGCAACUCCUAAUGCUCCUAAGUCACGUACAAUGCAAAAGAUGCAAGCAACAAUGCUCAUAAAGUAUAAUACAUGGAAUGAGGAUAGAUAAAAGCGAAAUUAGAACAUCAUUAAAUAAAUAAUGAAUUCCAAUUUUAUUACAUCAUGUCAUGCUUUUAAGGGCUCUAUCC